AUUGAACGCUGGCGGCAGGCCUAACACAUGCAAGUCGAGCGGAUGAAGGGAGCUUGCUCCUGGAUUCAGCGGCGGACGGGUGAGUAAUGCCUAGGAAUCUGCCUGGUAGUGGGGGAUAAUGUCCGGAAACGGGCGCUAAUACCGCAUACGUCCUGAGGGAGAAAGUGGGGGAUCUUCGGACCCCACGCUAUCAGAUGAGCCUAGGUCGGAUUAGCUAGUUGGUGGGGUAAAGGCCUACCAAGGCGACGAUCCGUAACUGGUCUGAGAGGAUGAUCAGUCACACUGGAACUGAGACACGGUCCAGACUCCUACGGGAGGCAGCAGUGGGGAAUAUUGGACAAUGGGCGAAAGCCUGAUCCAGCCAUGCCGCGUGUGUGAAGAAGGUCUUCGGAUUGUAAAGCACUUUAAGUUGGGAGGAAGGGCAGUAAGUUAAUACCUUGCUGUUUUGACGUUACCAACAGAAUAAGCACCGGCUAACUUCGUG
This 484-nucleotide ribosomal RNA is filed under the name uncultured bacterium. RNAcentral's name for it is "partial 16S ribosomal RNA". It matches the Rfam family "Bacterial small subunit ribosomal RNA", at positions 30 to 507 of the family's 1533-position model. The record is from RNAcentral.